RNAcentral lists this ribosomal RNA (459 nucleotides) under uncultured bacterium. RNAcentral's name for it is "partial 16S ribosomal RNA". It matches the Rfam family "Bacterial small subunit ribosomal RNA", at positions 338 to 795 of the family's 1533-position model. The record is from RNAcentral.
CCUACGGGUGGCAGCAGUGAGGAAUAUUGGUCAAUGGCCGAGAGGCUGAACCAGCCAAGUCGCGUGAGGGAUGACGGCCCUACGGGUUGUAAACCUCUUUUGCCGGGGAGCAAAGAGCGGGUCGCGUCCCGCCUCGAGAGUACCCGGUGAAAAAGCAUCGGCAAACUCCGUGCCAGCAGCCGCGUUAAUACGGAGGACGCGAGCGUUAUCCGGAGUUAUGGGGUUUAAGGGGUGCGCAGGCGGAAGCGCGAGGCAGCGGGAAUAUUGGGAGGUUCAACCUCUUCCCGCCGUUGAAACUGAGUUGCUUGAGGGGGCGAGAAGUACGCGGAAUGCGUGGUGUAGCGGUGAAAUGCGUAGAUAUCACGCAGAACUCCGGUUGCGAAGGCAGCGUACCGGCGCCUAACUGACGCUCAUGCACGAAAGCGUGGGUAUCGAACAGGAUUAGAUACCCGAGUAGUC